GUUCUUGAUAUAAAAAUGCUAAAGGAAGCAGCAAAUGCAUACACUCCGAAAGUGUUUGAAAAUUUUCAAAAUGAGUUUAAGAAAAUUCUUAAUCAUUCUCUUUUUAAAUGUGGUGAGGUUGGCACAGUUGCGAAAUUUCAAGUUACUGAUAACGACAAAGUUGAAGGACGUACUGUUAAAUUUGACUCGCUAGACAAUACAGUGAUAUGUAGUUGCCGCAAGUUUGAGUUUGUGGGCAUCUUAUGUAGUCAUGCAUUAAAAGUUUUAGAUUAUUAUAAUACAAAGGUGCUUCCUUCUUGUUAUAUUCUGGAAAGAUGGCAUAGAGAUGUAAAGGUAAGUUUUGCUAGAGAAGCGGUUACAUUAACAAUACAAGAUAACCGCAAUAUUGUAUCGGGUAAGCGACACAAAUAUAUGUCUCACGAACUUCUUAAAAUUGCGGCAAUAGUUGGAGAACAUGAAGAGGUCUUCAAAUUUGCUGAUAGAUAUUCUAAUAAAUUUCAUGAUGAAUUGAUGGAAUGCAUGAAAAGGAUUAAGGAACUUCUGCCAAACUCUUAUCAAGUUGUUGACAAAAGUGUAGAUAUUAAACAUGCAUGCUCAGACCCAACUAAAAGUAUAGAUACUGAAAUUGAAGGUGCACAAUUUGAGCCAACUGAAAAUGUAGAUAUUAAAAGCGCACAUCCUAAGCCAAUUGUAAGUGUAGAUACCAAAAGCGCAUGCCGUGAACCGAUUGAAAAAAAUUUACUUUUGUGGAUAGUUUGAGUUCACAAACUGUACAUGGGAUUAAAGUAAAGCCUAUAAUUAUGGGCAAUCAUCGUACAUAUAAAAAUCCGUUAGAUAAAGUAUGGAAGAAAAGAUUUUGAAAUCCUAUUGCUCAAACAAAAGCAAAUUAAGAGAGACAGGAAAUGGCCCAAGCAUUUUAACCUUCAAAUUGUCAAUUUACGUUCACCCCAAUGUGUCAUUUUAAUAAAAGUUCACAGAGUAUGGUGGCGAGCUCUCUUCAAUUACCUGGUAGAUCCAUUGAUGCAUCAUUAUUACCUCAACGUGAAUACCAACCAGCUAAUCUUAACAUGUUUCAACAAAACCUUUAUAAUCUUGGGAGUGGUCCUAGUGGAUCCACGAGUGGCCCUUUUGUUGCUUGUGACUAUCCAACCAUCAACUCGAAUCAGCAAUUUCUCUUGAGCAACCCACAAUUAUUUUCUCAAGAAAGUGUUGUGUGUAACCAGUUAUCAUCACAACAAUCUGACAAUAAUUAAUCGGUGGGAAGAGCAUCACAUACAUUCUAAUAUUUUGUCAAAGGAGAUUCUCCACUACCAAAUUCAAUCAUUGCGUUUCUUCAAUCAUUGCGAGCAGGUGCUAGUCAUGUUGACAUGAUUCAUGUUCCAAGAAGCAAACUCUAAGGACGUUCGGUAUGGAUGUGUUGCUAGUCUAAUAAUUUGUGGCUCUCUGUAGAUUUUGUACAGUCAAAUUAUUUAUCUUGUGGGCCCACUGUAUUAAUUAUCAGGUGGCCAAGAUUUUUAAUAAGGCGUCCAUAUAAUGCUUGAGGCUGAUAUGUAACAUAGAAUCAUCAAAUAAAAGUACUGCUUUGAAAUCAUAAGCAGACCAAAGUAGGAUUUAUCUGGUAGAUGUUUCAAAAUGAUGAUUGGAAGGGGGUUU
Molecule: long non-coding RNA, 1653 nt
Organism: Magnolia sinica
Lineage: Eukaryota; Viridiplantae; Streptophyta; Magnoliopsida; Magnoliales; Magnoliaceae
Exons: 5
Source: RefSeq, a predicted model, not a curated record